This 317-nucleotide ribosomal RNA is filed under the name uncultured bacterium. RNAcentral describes it as "bacterial SSU rRNA". It matches the Rfam family "Bacterial small subunit ribosomal RNA", at positions 28 to 334 of the family's 1533-position model. The record is from RNAcentral.
GAUAAACGCUGGCGGCGCACAUAAGACAUGCAAGUCGAACGGACUCAACCAAAAUGUUUACAUUUUGGAGCGGUUAGUGGCGGACUGGUGAGUAACACGUAAGCAACCUGCCUAUUAGAGGGGAAUAACAGUGAGAAAUCAUUGCUAAUACCGCAUAUGCCAUAGAGACCACAUGGUUUCAGUGGGAAAGGAGCAAUCCGCUAAUAGAUGGGCUUGCGUCUGAUUAGAUAGUUGGUGGGGUAACGGCCUACCAAGUCGACGAUCAGUAGCCGGACUGAGAGGUUGAACGGCCACAUUGGGACUGAGAUACGGCCCAG